RNAcentral lists this long non-coding RNA (358 nucleotides) under Anas platyrhynchos platyrhynchos (common mallard). RNAcentral describes it as "lncRNA (ENSAPLG00000025831.1)". Lineage: Eukaryota; Metazoa; Chordata; Aves; Anseriformes; Anatidae. The record is from RNAcentral.
GAUGCUGAGGAUCCUCUCGGCUGAGAUGAAUACCCGUGUGUGAGAAGCAACGACGGUGUCUUGUUGUGGAAAGCUUGUGCUCACCGAGGCUGGAAAAUCCUUCAAAGAAAGGCUCUGGUGAUCCUGGGCAAUUGGGAAUUCCCACACUGAUGAUGGAUCAAACCAAGGCAAGAAAACAGCGGUGGAUAAAUGGGACAAAUGAAGCAUGGAAGGUUUGCAGCCACAGUGAUCAGAUAGGGUAGUCUGUGUCAAAUACCGUGCAGAAGCCCAGCGUGAGGACAACACCUCUGAUUUUCAGAGAAUGGAUGCACUUGGAUUUAUGAAUGAUUUUUUUUUUUUUUGAAUUUUCUCCCAGGAA